UACGUAGGGUGCGAGCGUUAAUCGGAAUUACUGGGCGUAAAGCGUGCGCAGGCGGUUCGCCAAGUCAGGUGUGAAAUCCCCGGGCUUAACCUGGGAAUUGCGCUUGAAACUAGCGGGCUUGAGUGCGGCAGAGGGGGGUGGAAUUCCACGUGUAGCAGUGAAAUGCGUAGAGAUGUGGAGGAACACCGAUGGCGAAGGCGGCAUCCUGGACCAACACUGACGCUGAGGAGCGAAAGCCAGGGGAGCAAACGGG
RNAcentral lists this ribosomal RNA (253 nucleotides) under uncultured prokaryote. RNAcentral's name for it is "partial 16S ribosomal RNA". It matches the Rfam family "Bacterial small subunit ribosomal RNA", at positions 524 to 776 of the family's 1533-position model. The record is from RNAcentral.